GACUCAUUAGCUCAGCUGGUAGAGCACCUGACUCUUAAUCAGGGCGUCCAGGGUUCGAAUCCCUGAUGGGUCACCA
RNAcentral lists this transfer RNA (76 nucleotides) under Eubacteriaceae bacterium. RNAcentral's name for it is "tRNA-Lys". It matches the Rfam family "tRNA". Rfam says of the family: Transfer RNA (tRNA) molecules are approximately 80 nucleotides in length. Their secondary structure includes four short double-helical elements and three loops (D, anti-codon, and T loops). The record is from RNAcentral. Lineage: Bacteria; Bacillati; Bacillota; Clostridia; Eubacteriales; Eubacteriaceae.